GACGAACGCUGGCGGCGUGCUUAACACAUGCAAGUCGAACGGAAAGGCCCUGCUCUUGUUGGGUGCUCGAGUGGCGAACGGGUGAGUAACACGUGAGUAACCUGCCCUUGACUUUGGGAUAACUUCAGGAAACUGGGGCUAAUACCGGAUAGGAGCUCCUGCUGCAUGGUGGGGGUUGGAAAGUUUCGGCGGAUGGGGAUGGACUCGCGGCUUAUCAGCUUGUUGGUGGGGUAGUGGCUUACCAAGGCUUUGACGGGUAGCCGGCCUGAGAGGGUGACCGGCCACAUUGGGACUGAGAUACGGCCCAGACUCCUACGGGAGGCAGCAGUGGGGAAUAUUGCACAAUGGGCGGAAGCCUGAUGCAGCAACGCCGCGUGCGGGAUGGCGGCCUUCGGGUUGUAAACCGCUUUCGCCUGUGACGAAGCGUGAGUGACGGUAAUGGGUAAAGAAGCACCGGCUAACUACGUG
RNAcentral lists this ribosomal RNA (468 nucleotides) under uncultured bacterium. RNAcentral's name for it is "partial 16S ribosomal RNA". It matches the Rfam family "Bacterial small subunit ribosomal RNA", at positions 28 to 507 of the family's 1533-position model. The record is from RNAcentral.